RNAcentral lists this ribosomal RNA (372 nucleotides) under Triticum aestivum (bread wheat). RNAcentral describes it as "partial small subunit ribosomal RNA". The record is from RNAcentral. Lineage: Eukaryota; Viridiplantae; Streptophyta; Magnoliopsida; Poales; Poaceae.
AUGUCAAUGGCGGACGAGCAAUACGACGCUGGGCCGCGUGGGGCGCCGCAUGGGCUGCUGUUGGCGGUGGUGGUGGGGCUGCUGGUUGGGUGGCCGCUUUUCCUAAGUGACGGCGCUGAGGCGGUCACCGAUGCCAUCGCCGGGCUGCUUGGCCCCGUGGGCCUGCUCCUCCUCCCGGUGGGGCUCCUCCUCCUCAUCCACCUCCUCUCCUGCGACCGCUCCCCCGACGUGUUCGAGUUUGCCGGCUCGCCCGACGCCGUGCACCACGUCGGGGGAUCACCCGUCGGCGUGGCGCUGAUGCUGGUCCUCAUGCUUGCCCUCCUCUACUACCGGUCCGCACUCUUCGGUGGCGGCGGAGGCGACGACGAGUAG